UACGUAGGGGGCGAGCGUUGUCCGGAAUCAUUGGGCGUAAAGGGCGCGUAGGCGGCCUGGUAAGUCGGAUGUGAAAACCUUGGGCUCAACUCAGGGCCUGCAUCCGAAACUAUCUGGCUUGAGGUCAGGAGAGGGAAAUGGAAUUCCGAGUGUAGCGGUGAAAUGCGUAGAUAUUCGGAAGAACACCAGUGGCGAAGGCGAUUUCCUGGACUGAUACUGACGCUGAGGCGCGAAAGCUAGGGGAG
Molecule: ribosomal RNA, 245 nt
Filed under: uncultured bacterium
Lineage: Bacteria
Description: partial 16S ribosomal RNA
Rfam family: Bacterial small subunit ribosomal RNA
Source: RNAcentral